RNAcentral lists this long non-coding RNA (253 nucleotides) under Solanum pimpinellifolium. RNAcentral's name for it is "long non-coding RNA (SPIM_LNC000249)". The record is from RNAcentral. Lineage: Eukaryota; Viridiplantae; Streptophyta; Magnoliopsida; Solanales; Solanaceae.
CCCUUUCAGAAAAUUCUAACACUAGUAGAAAUGCCUAUGCUUUAUUCUUCGGAAGGUGGGAAAAAAGAUAAAACUAAAUAAACGGAUUAUUCAUCCAAAUUUCAGUUUGAAACUCAUGUAAUUAACCUAUUUUUCUUUUGGUUAACCCUAAAACUGGGAUAGAUCCAUGAGAAAUCUGAUUCGAUUUUAUUAGAUAUGGUAUAGAUCAAAAUCGGAUGCCAAAAGAAUUGACUGCUGAGCCGUAUGAGGUAAG